Molecule: ribosomal RNA, 581 nt
Filed under: Goiascolex sp. MPL-2014
Lineage: Eukaryota; Metazoa; Annelida; Clitellata; Crassiclitellata; Glossoscolecidae
Description: partial 16S ribosomal RNA
Source: RNAcentral
AAGAAAAGAAUUAUACAAUAUAUUUAAAUAAAAGUACUUAAAAAUAAAAACACAAAAAAUUUCAAGUACAGAAAUGGAUGCCAUAUUCCCCUAAAGUAAAAUUUAAAAUCUGUACCUUGUGCAUAAUGGUUUUACAAUUCUAAAAUUUAAAAUAUGCCCCGAAUUCUAAGAGAGCUGCUUUAGAUAUUGUUCAGAACCCACUAUUAUCUGUGUCAUAAGAUUUAAAAAAUAUUAAAGCAGGGGCUACAUACCACUCGCGCUAGAAAAUUGCUGGUCUCUAGUAAAACUUAUAAAUUAAUUCAUAUAAUAAAUUAUACUGUAAAACUACAGAGGAUAAGCCCUGUAGUUUCAUACCAUUAAAAUUCCCCUUUACCUAUAAGCUUAAAAACAGCUAUCAAAAAUACGUAAAAGUAAAAUAAUAUAAUUCGAAAUGUUAAAACUUAACUAGAAUAAAGUAAAACUAUAUAUACCAAUCUUAAAAUGUAAAAAUAAGUAUUUAUAGAUAUUUUAUAUAUUGAAGCACUAAAUUGCCAAUAUUUAAAAUACAAUUAUUAAUAAAGGAACUCGGCAAAUACUAAGUU